RNAcentral lists this ribosomal RNA (680 nucleotides) under uncultured fungus. Its description in RNAcentral is "eukaryotic LSU rRNA". It matches the Rfam family "Eukaryotic large subunit ribosomal RNA", at positions 1 to 664 of the family's 3401-position model. The record is from RNAcentral. Lineage: Eukaryota; Fungi.
CCCCUUUGGGAUAAAGGUGCGGGAUGGAGUGUAGACGGCGGCUAAUGCGAUCAUUACCCACUGAACUUAAGCAUAUCAAUAAGCGCAGGAAAAGAAACCAACAGGGAUUGCCUCAGUAACGGCGAGUGAAGCGGCAACAGCUCAAAUUUGAAAUCUGGCCUCUCGGGGUCCGAGUUGUAAUUUGUAGAGGAUGUUUCGGGUACCGCCCCGGUCUAAAUUUCUUGGAACAGAAUGUCAAAGAGGGUGAGAGUCCCGUCUUGGACCGGCGGUAGGGCCUAUGUGAAACUCCUUCGACGAGUCGAGUUGUUUGGGAAUGCAGCUCAAAAUGGGUGGUAAAUUUCAUCUAAAGCUAAAUAUUGGCCAGAGACCGAUAGCGCACAAGUAGAGUGAUCGAAAGAUGAAAAGCACUUUGAAAAGAGAGUUAAACAGUAUGUGAAAUUGUUGAAAGGGAAGCGCUUGCAACCAGACUUGAGCGCGGCGGUUCCCCUAGCCUUUUGGCUAGGCUACUCCGUCGUGACCAGGCCAACAUCGGUUCUGAGGGUCGGUCAAAGGCCCCGGGAAUGUAUCUACCUACGGGUAGACUUAUAGACCGGGGUGUCAUGCGGCCUCUCGGGACCGAGGAACGCGCUUCGGCUCGGAUGUUGGCGUAAUGGUUGUCAGCGACCCGUCUUGAAACACGG